GUGAGGGGCCCGCGCGGGCCGGGGGCCCCCCGAGCCCCUCGGAGCCCCGGCACUGCCGCCCGCCCACCCGCUUCUCCUCCUUCCUCAGCCCAGCCGGGCGGGAGGAAAGCAAGGGGAAGAACGGGCUCGGUGCGGCCCCGCGGGGAAAGGGAACGGGGGGGUCAGCCCGGCGUCUUGGGGGGGUUCGUCGUCCUCCCCUCACACCCCGCGGGGUUGGCGUGGAGCGGAGGAGCCGCGCUGCAAACCCCAAACUGAUAACGUGGGAGUGUCCAAGGCCAGAUUGGAGCCAUGUGGGAUGGACUGGAAGGUGGAACGAGCUGGAUGGAGGUUCCCAGCCAUCCCAACUCAUUCUGUGUCUGAGUUUUGUGUUCCCACCUCCCGGAUCUGUUUUUAGGAAUGAACGAACACAAUGGUCCACGUGAGCUGAAAAACAAAAGCCUCCAGAAGAUUAUAAUCUUUUUUUACCAUCAAAGCCUGCAGGAGCAGCAUGAAGGGGAAGGACUUGCCUGAAGAAAUUCCUGCUGAUGUCCCACCUGAACCUCCCCUGGCACAGCCUGAGGCCAUUUCCUCGUGUCCUGCCGCUGGAAAACCUUGGCUGAAGAGAAAUUGCCAAAACUCCGGGUUAAUUAUGGCUGUUAGAGAGAUCUUGUCAUUUCCACCUUUUUCCUGGCCAUUCUUCUUUCACUAUGUGUAUGUUGUAAAUAUGUGAGGUACGUUUUUUAUCGGUUAUGUAGGCAGAAAUUGUAUGUCUAUCUAUAUAAAAUAGGUGUAUUAUAUAUAUAAUUAUAUAAUACAUAUUUUAUAUGCAUUAUUUUAUAUUUAUAUUAUGACUUUGUGUUUCUCUUAACACGUUGUAUACGUUAUGAACACGAAUUGUUUGUGUUAGUGGGGAUCGAGCGGAAUUCCCGCUG
Long non-coding RNA from Haemorhous mexicanus (house finch), 911 nucleotides. RefSeq lists it as uncharacterized. The record is from RefSeq and is a predicted model, not a curated record. NCBI's taxonomy places the organism in Eukaryota, Metazoa, Chordata, Aves, Passeriformes, Fringillidae. The transcript has 3 exons.